RNAcentral lists this ribosomal RNA (350 nucleotides) under Triticum aestivum (bread wheat). Its description in RNAcentral is "partial small subunit ribosomal RNA". Lineage: Eukaryota; Viridiplantae; Streptophyta; Magnoliopsida; Poales; Poaceae. The record is from RNAcentral.
AGAUUGGACAGCUUAGUGGGUUUGUUUGGAGCUGGAUGCCAGCCAAGUUCUUCGAACGAUCCAUUUGGACUGAGAAGGAUCUCCUAUGGACUGGUCCAAAUAUUGGUUGAGAACAAGAAGAACUUUGAUCUCACGAAGGCCUUGACCUUGGUGGCAGAGGUGCAGCCUAUCAGAAUAGACAGUGACAUCAUAAAUGAGGUAGUACAAUUUGUAACACGGAGACUGGAACAACUUUUGGUGGAUGAAGGAAUUAACUAUGAAAUAGUCCGGUCAGUGCUUAUGGAGCGUGCAAACUGCCCUUAUCUAGCAUCACAAACGGCAGCUGAAGUAAGAAAUCAUAUAGUGCUAAA